This is a long non-coding RNA of Phyllopteryx taeniolatus (common seadragon), 2179 nucleotides long. RefSeq lists it as uncharacterized. NCBI's taxonomy places the organism in Eukaryota, Metazoa, Chordata, Actinopteri, Syngnathiformes, Syngnathidae. The record is from RefSeq and is a predicted model, not a curated record. The transcript is spliced from 3 exons.
UUCCCCAUCCGUCAAGAUGGGGAAAGGCUUCCAACUGCAAAGACCACCAGUGAGUGGAGAGCUGAGCCUUUCAAGGGGAAUGAAAUCUUUUGAGCAGCAACACUGACAUACCUCGACCUCCCUGGAAAGGUUAUGUGGUGUUGCCAUGGCAACACAGGACACCAGCGGUAUGUUAAAAAGGUAGCCUGAAGAAGAUGGGGGUGGGCGCGUCUAAACUGAAACUAAGGCUGUGGAAUUCUGUGGGUGAGUGAGGAUGCAUUUUGAAUAUUAAUAUUCUGUUUAAAUUAAGUAGGAGUAUCCACAGUUCUAUCCUCUCCUCCACUCUGAAGCUUCAUUCCCAUUAACAUUUGUAAAAGCCCAAUAUGCACUAUGACGAAUCCAGCUCUGUGGACAAGGAGGGUAUUUUUAGACGUGUACUCAUUAGUGCUGAGAGAUCAUUUGUAAUGAAGGACAGGGGGAGAGGGAGGCCAAUAUCCCUGUGAAAGAUGGCAUCGAUAUUCAAAUACCUGAUGAGUGAGUGAGUGUAAAAGAGGUAGUGAGGUGAGAUGUUAGGGGUAAGCCAAUCAAAGAGUUUAAGGGGAGUGAUGCAAUAAAAUUGUAAGGGGCAAGGUUACGUGAAUUAUAAAGCACAUUAGGCAUGAUUUAAAAGCUUCCCAUUCUGCUUUUAAAAUAACAAUAUGACAUAUAUGGCUGAUUAGGUGCGCUACAUUCAUACAAUAUCAGAGAAACUAUUUUCCCUUGGUUGAGGUCAGAUCUGUUGCUCUUACUACUCGGUAUCUUCCAAUAAUUCAAAUGCAAUGAAGAAUGAUGUCAGCAACUACCAUUCACAAUCACGCAUACAAUCAGUUAAUGGAGUCUUCAAAUGAUAUACAGUAUAACCAGCCGUAAACAUGUUUCCUGUUAGGGUCAUAAGUGGUCGCACUGAAUAAUGGAAUUCUGAUUUCAUUUGCUACAUGAGGGAAAGUACCACCGUCCCAUCCUUCUCCAGGUAGAAGGGUUCGAUUGGACAAGAAUAUGGUGCCACUGUCUGUUUGACAAAGUGAGGACAACAAUACCGAAGAAUGCCUCCACAGAAGGGGUACCUGGAAGAGGAAAACUAUGAUGAAGAUCGCCUUGCUGUCAUGUGUCUCCUGGGUGCUCAAUACAAAAUGUGGCUUUCAGAUGCUUCUCCUGACACACUGUCACCUCCCCUGCUGCUCCCAAAUGAACUACUGAACUCCAGAUGGAGCAGACUGGCUCACUUAUUAAAGAUUUACCAGCUGAGUCUGCUGCUGUGUCCUUGACCUUCCAUACAGCGACUGCACAAAGAGAGUGGGUGUGUGAGGCAAUGUGAGGGGGCAGGAAGUUGAAUAACGACUUUGCUGGGUUUGCCACUUGACAGCACUGGCAGGCUGUCAGCAGAGAGAAUGCAAUAUCAUUUGUAGUAAAUUACAGGCCUCGUAAGUCAAGUUUGCGCUGACAGCUCCCUCGGCCGUCAGGAAGAAAACGCCUCUACCGUGAAAAACUGCACUCAAACACCCACCUUCACGCUUUUGGCCCAUUACAGCAUCAGCAAAACUACUUCAAACCAUAUAAAUUCCAGUUUACUAAUCGGAUUCCAGAAUAAGUAUGUUUUCUUUUUCUUUUUUGGAUAUUUUGGAUGGCAAAAUCUAGUCUGCCUUUCCUUUUCUUGCUUUUUACUGGAACGUGGUAAUGUAAGGCAUUACUUAUGAAUUUCAGUAAUAUGCCAGUUAAUCUCAGUAACCCGAUUUAUAAUACAUUUAGCUUUGUGUUUACCAGGCAUUGUCUUUUGCCCAGAUAUGUCCACUUUUUGCAACCUCCAAACACAGUCCCCACGUAUUAUUCCUCUUGCUGUAACUUGGCUUUCUGUUUAGGUCUGGCCUUCCUGCUCGCCUGCCUGUACAGUCAUUGGCUGGCUUGUCAGUCACUGUGAUAAAAUAGACGUUGAGGCCCACUGAUUGGUCAUAAUUUCACCCAGUGCAAUCAGUGUUAAAUAAAUGUUAUCCAUAUAGAUAUAUUUUGUCUUUCAUUUUUAGUUGAUUUAGGGCCAGCUGUUAAACAGACAGAAUGAAUAUUAUUUGGUCAAAAUACUGUACAUCUUCAAGAAGAAAACCUUGGCAAAGUAUAUGGGUCUGAAAAUGACAGUGAUUGGAAUAAUCUAAAAACGAUUAUGGUCAAA